This is a long non-coding RNA of Vespa velutina, 2520 nucleotides long. RefSeq lists it as uncharacterized. The transcript is spliced from 7 exons. The record is from RefSeq and is a predicted model, not a curated record. NCBI's taxonomy places the organism in Eukaryota, Metazoa, Arthropoda, Insecta, Hymenoptera, Vespidae.
UUUUUAUUUUUGUUGAACGGUAUAUUUUUACAAAGCCUUUAGUUAAAGUACUAAUUGCUUCUUAUAUGUAAUAUUAUCCAUUAUUUAUACCAUUCAUUUAAUGAAUCUUUCAGUAAAUUUUUGGCCUUGAAACCAAAAUUAGCACGUUGAAUGUUUGUUAAAUGAUAUUCGUUUGUAGAAAUUAAAAACUAACCUCUAAAUAUGAGUUUAAUUGAAAGAUUUUAACGCAUCAAGAAAUAAAGCGGAUCAAAUUAUUUUUAAAGUAAAAAGCAUAAUAACUUGAAGAAGCUGAUAUUGUAACCUUUCCGUUAUAUUAUUCGUUAACGACAUUUAAUAAGACGUUUUUACUUGGUAUGAAGGAGUGUCUUACAAGGGAAUGUACUAUAUUUAUCAUUGAAAGAGGAUCAAAAUAAAGUCUGGAAGACCAUAUUGUUAAAAUGUGGGAAGGACAGAAGAUUUUUAGAAAGAAUAAUAACGGAUCUGAGUCACAAUCGUCAAUCAGAGAAUUGACAAACUGUUUUAAAAGAAGUAUCCUGUUAAUUGGUAAUAUUCCAGCAUUGAGUUGGCCAACCAUUAAAAUUAUUUCAUUUAAGAAUGAAAGAUGAUAACGUCGAUCCAGAAAUGUAUCAUUAUGCACUGGAUUAUUACUGUACUAAGGAAAUGAACGCAACAAAGGAAUUUUCCAUUGUGCAAUAGAUUGGACUGGCUUUCGAUUGGGCCUCAACGAGAAUGUUGCCACGAUAAGAUCAUGCUUCAACAUCGUUCCAACCUUCAUGAUUACUGGAUUUUUAUUGGAUAAGAAUGGUUGUUAUUUGUAUAAAAAUAGGAAAGAAAAAUAUCUUAAAAUUCAAGAAUAUCAUUCGAUAAUAUGUAUCGGUCAGUUAGUCGAUGGUUUUUCGUCCGAAAAAUUCAUUAUGCAUGCAAAGAUUGAGAAAAGCAAGAAAACUAUUCAAGAGAUCAUCUGAAGGAAUAUUGAAGAAUAUAGCUGCAGUAAAUAUGUAUAGAUAAAAGAGAAUAAAUUUAUCUAUCGAAUCUGCUAGUCUAAUAACAAUCCUAGAGGAGGAGAAAAGUAGUUUAUUACAAAUAAUGCUUAAAAAGAAUUGUCACUGAAAAUUUUGUGGAAACGAAUGAACGAUCGUUGAUGAAAGAAGAAUAAGAUGCGGACCACGUUCUUGUAUCAAUCUUGCUAUAGCAAUCUGUACUCACACGUACGUUUAUCUAUUCAAUGGACCAAUUUAGCGGUAGAUGCUUUGGUUCUAAGAUUUUUAUGGAAAAGAACAAAAAAUUCACAUGCUAAAGCAUCAUCGAAGAUUCUAGAGAUUGAUAUUUAUAAUAACGAUAGUAAGAAGCGUAAACCAAAGCUGUGGCUUAUUUGAGAUUAUUUGGCGAUAAGUUGAACGGUUGGAACGAAUAAGUGAUUAAGUUUAUUGCAAUACUAAUUUCAGAUUUUUCAUUAACUAAUUACUUAUCAUAUUAUGAACAAAAGCUCGAUCACUGAAUCUAAUGUCUACAGCAUUAAAUGCUUGGAACUAUUCAAAAGAUAUGCCAAUUGUUUAUUUCGACAAAAUUAGUAGUCGAAUUAAAAGAAGAAAACGAAUAGAUGAUUACCGGAUUGUAUUCUCGAAUGUCUGAAGGAGGAAUGAAUUAAAAAGUCAGCUGAAUCAAUCAUUUUACAUGUUUAAUUCGUCCAGUCAUUAGAAACAAAAUAAGAACUAGUUUUAUAAAUUACGUUUGAACCUUUUUAACAUUUAAUAAAAUAAAAGUUGUUAUCUACCAGAAAAUUAAAAUCGCAUUUCUUCAAUAACUAUCGAUUUAAAAUGGAAAAAAUGAUACAGUUGUAAAAAGAAUAUAAGGCGUUUCAAAUGAUAUGCCUCCCAACCCCUUUUGCCGUUUAAGAUUUUUGAGGCGGUUGUCAUCUCCUUAGGGAGUUAGCCUAAAGAAAAAUGCAUUUAUGAUAAGGACCUAUCCUUCUCGAAGACAAUGUUGACUAGAUAUGACGUUUUUUGAAAAAGUAAUUAAAUUUCAUAAUAAUCCUGGUGAAUACUUUUCAUUUGGAUAUAUAUGUAGGUUACAUAUGGUGACUGAUAUCUUUCCAUUUUUAUCAUUUUGUUUUCCUUCUUAUCUUUGUGUGCUUAUAUAUGAACUUUUUCUGUUAUUAAAAGUAUUUUAUGUUAAUGAUUUGUAUUAACGUAAAUACAAUAUAUAAUGUGCCAUAUAUAAAGCAUCGAUUAAAAUGAGAUAAAUUAGUCGUCCUGAAUGUUUGCGAUUUCUAAUAAAAUUUUCUUGUACGAUUUUGAGAGAAAGGAAAAGGACGUGUAGGGUAACAAUAUUAUUAGAACAGUAAACAGAAAAAUAUUCAUUAUUGCAUAAUCUUGUUGAGUUACUAUGCAUAAUACGUCGAAUCGAUAUAAAUAAUUGAUAUAAGAAAAAUAAUUCGACAUGAUUUACUUUAAUUAUUGAUCAUUACGUAAAUACGUACGAUACUUAUAUAUGAUAAUCACAUAUACAUGUUAUACCUUC